AUUGAACGCUGGCGGCAUGCCUUACACAUGCAAGUCGAACGGCAGCACGGGUGCUUGCACCUGGUGGCGAGUGGCGAACGGGUGAGUAAUACAUCGGAACAUGUCCUGUAGUGGGGGAUAGCCCGGCGAAAGCCGGAUUAAUACCGCAUACGAUCUACGGAUGAACGCGGGGGACCUUCGGGCCUCGCGCUAUAGGGUUGGCCGAUGGCUGAUUAGCUAGUUGGUGGGGUAAAGGCCUACCAAGGCGACGAUCAGUAGCUGGUCUGAGAGGACGACCAGCCACACUGGGACUGAGACACGGCCCAGACUCCUACGGGAGGCAGCAGUGGGGAAUUUUGGACAAUGGGCGAAAGCCUGAUCCAGAAAUGCCGCGUGUGUGAAGAAGGCCUUCGGGUUGUAAAGCACUUUUGUCCGGAAAGAAAUCCUUGGCCCUAAUACGGUCGGGGGAUGACGGUACCGUAAGAAUAAGCACCGGCUAACUACGUG
RNAcentral lists this ribosomal RNA (486 nucleotides) under uncultured bacterium. RNAcentral's name for it is "partial 16S ribosomal RNA". It matches the Rfam family "Bacterial small subunit ribosomal RNA", at positions 30 to 507 of the family's 1533-position model. The record is from RNAcentral.